GACGUAGGGCGCGAGCGUUGUCCGGAUUUAUUGGGCGUAAAGAGCUCGUAGGCGGCUUGUUGCGUCGACUGUGAAAACCCGCGGCUUAACUGCGGGCUUGCAGUUGAUACGGGCAGACUAGAGGUAUGCAGGGGAGAACGGAAUUCCUGGUGUAGCGGUGAAAUGCGCAGAUAUCAGGAGGAACACCGGUGGCGAAGGCGGUUCUCUGGGCAUUACUUGACGCUGAGGAGCGAAAGUGUGGGGAGCGAACAGG
This 253-nucleotide ribosomal RNA is filed under the name uncultured bacterium. Its description in RNAcentral is "partial 16S ribosomal RNA". It matches the Rfam family "Bacterial small subunit ribosomal RNA", at positions 524 to 776 of the family's 1533-position model. The record is from RNAcentral.